Molecule: non-coding RNA, 79 nt
Filed under: unclassified sequences
Description: c-di-GMP sequence
Rfam family: c-di-GMP-I-UAU riboswitch aptamer
Source: Rfam by way of RNAcentral
CAAGAAAAAUCCAAACCUGCUGUAAAGCAGGGACGGAAAGCCACGGGUUUCUUUUGUAAGAAGCAGCCGGUUAUCAAUA